Molecule: ribosomal RNA, 409 nt
Filed under: uncultured bacterium
Lineage: Bacteria
Description: bacterial SSU rRNA
Rfam family: Bacterial small subunit ribosomal RNA
Source: RNAcentral
UGGGGAAUAUUGCACAAUGGGCGCAAGCCUGAUGCAGCGACGCCGCGUGAGGGAUGACGGCCUUCGGGUUGUAAACCUCUUUCACCAGGGACGAAGCGCGAGUGACGGUACCUGGAGAAGAAGCACCGGCCAACUACGUGCCAGCAGCCGCGGUAAUACGUAGGGUGCGAGCGUUGUCCGGAAUUACUGGGCGUAAAGAGCUCGUAGGCGGUUUGUCGCGUCGUCUGUGAAAUUCUGCAACUCAAUUGUAGGCGUGCAGGCGAUACGGGCAGACUUGAGUACUGCAGGGGAGACUGGAAUUCCUGGUGUAGCGGUGAAAUGCGCAGAUAUCAGGAGGAACACCGGUGGCGAAGGCGGGUCUCUGGGUAGUAACUGACGCUGAGGAGCGAAAGCGUGGGUAGCGAACAGG